CCCUUAGAUGUUCUGGGCCGCACGCGCGCUACACUGACUGACUCAACGAGUUUACAACCUGUGCCGAAAGGUAUGGGUAAUCUUUUGAAAUUCAGUCGUGAUGGGGCUAGAUUAUUGCAACUAUUAAUCUUCAACGAGGAAUGCCUAGUAAGCGCGAAUCAUCAGUUCGCGUUGAUUACGUCCCUGCCCUUUGUACACACCGCCCGUCGCACCUACCGAUUGAAUGGUCCGGUGAAGCCUCCGGAUUGGCGCGCACCUCGGUGCCGCCGAGAAGUUGGCUAAACCUUACCAUUUAGAGGAAGGUGAAGUCGUANCA
Molecule: ribosomal RNA, 316 nt
Filed under: uncultured eukaryote
Lineage: Eukaryota
Description: partial 18S ribosomal RNA
Rfam family: Eukaryotic small subunit ribosomal RNA
Source: RNAcentral